RNAcentral lists this long non-coding RNA (2924 nucleotides) under Sus scrofa (pig). RNAcentral describes it as "lncRNA (ENSSSCG00035032618.1)". Lineage: Eukaryota; Metazoa; Chordata; Mammalia; Artiodactyla; Suidae. The record is from RNAcentral.
ACUUCACACUCGGCAGGCAGCAUGUGCAGCUGAGGCCCCUCUCCGGGCUGCAGACUCCCUCGAGGCGGGCAGCGAGGUCAGCCUGGCAGCCGCUGCCUCUCUCCAGCCCAGAUCUGGCCUCAGGCAGCCGGUUCCCGGACCCGAGGAAGUGAUGGCGGAACAGGAAGCCAGUGGGUUGCAGGUCCUGCUGCAAACACUCCAGAGUUCCUCUGACAAGGAGUCAAUCCUGACCAUCCUCCAGGUCCUUGGAGAUCUGCUUUCCGUUGGCACAGACCGGAGGAUUCGCUACAUGAUCAGCAAGGGUGGUAGCGAAGCCCUUCUGCAGACCCUGGUGGACACUGCCCGGACAGCUUCUCCAGACUAUGACAUCCUGCUGCCCCUCCUCCGGCUGCUGGCCAAAGUUGGCCUGCGAGAUAAAAAGUUUGGACAGAAGGCACUGGAAUUGGAAGCACUUGAUGUGACAUUGAUUCUGGCCAGGAAAAACCUGUCCCACAGCCAGAACCUCCUGCACUGUCUCUGGGCUCUGCGUGUGUUCACUUCUAGUGUCACCACAGGAGCCAUGCUAGGAAUUAAUGGAGCAAUGGAACUGCUUCUCAAGGUCAUCACCCCUUACACCCAGAAGCACACCCAAGUAAUCAGGGCAGCCACUGAAGUUCUGGCAGCACUGCUGAAAUCCAAGUCUAACAGCCGCAGGGCGGUGAACAGAGGCUAUGUCUCGGGCUUGCUCAGGCUGCAUCAGGACUGGCACAGCCAUGACACAGCCAAUUCCUAUGUAUUGAUCCGCCGGGCGCUUCUGCUCUGCCUCAAGCAUAUUGCCAACCUCCGGUCUGGCAGGGAGGCCUUCCUGGCAGCUCAGGGCAUGGAGAUCCUGUUCAGCACAACACAGAACUGCCUGGAUGACAAAAUUCUGGAGCCCGUCGUCUCCAUUGUGCUUCAGAUCCUGAGGCAAUGCUACCCUAAGAGCCCGCUUCCCUUGGUCACAGCCAAUAGCGCAUACACCUUCCCAGGCACUAGGAGCAUCACCUCUGACCCGCCACAUGUUCUAACUGAAGAAGAUUUUGAAGAGGAUGGUGAGGAAGAGGAGGACAAAGACUUGGAUUCUGAAGAUGUGAAAGAGGAAGAUGAUGACUUGGAAACAGAUGUGAACAAGCUGAGUUCCAAACCUGGUCUUGACCGACCUGCAGAGGAAUUAAUGCAGUACGAGGCGAUGUGUCUUGAGCUCUCCUGCAACUUCAAGGAACUGGAGUCUGAAGCUGGAGAUGAUCUGACGUUUGAUGAGACUCAGUAUACCAAUCACCACCACAUUCCGACCCCUGUCUCCCUCAAGGGGUGUUGCUUGAAUAAGGACCAAGUUUUCUGGGGACAUGAAAGAGAAGCCACAGCCCAAACCUCCCUUCUGAGCAGGGUGAAGAUGGGGAGGUCCAACCUACAUCUAACCUCCAAAAAAGGACCUGGAAUGAGCCCACACCAAAAUGUCCAAUCCAAAGGUUUUGGGCUCAGUUCUUCUGGAAGUAAAAGCCCCAGUAUCCAGCCACUCAUCAAAGAGGACACUUGGGACAUAGACGUGAUUUCCUGCCCAAGAAUGAGUGCCUCCUUGACCAAUUCCACUCAGCCUAAAGAAAUUGCUGAAUUAAUGGAUAAGCUUCUGCAGACACAUCCCAAGAGUAUGGCCUUCCAUGACCCCUAUCUUUAUAUGGCCAAAGCUAGAAGAACCAGAUCUGUUGCUGACUUCACAAUGAUGUCAUUUCCUGAUUUCUGGGGACACUGUCCACCUGCCUCUGCCCAGUCCAUGUUGGAACGUAAAUGUGGAGUUCAAAGGAUCAAGAUAUUUGAGGAUGUCCGGAGGCUCAUCCAGCCAAAUGAUGUUAUAAAUAAAGUUGUCUUCAGCUUAGAUGAGUCUUGGCCUUUGCAUGACAUUGCUUCUGACUGCUUACAAUUCUUCUCCAAGUUUGAGUCAGGAAAUCUUCGCAAAGCAAUCCAAGUGCGUGAGUUUGAGUACGACUUACUGGUCAAUGCUGAUGUGAAUAGUGCCCAGCACCAGCAGUGGUUUUACUUCAGGGUGACAGGUAUGAGGACUGCCAUCCCUUACCGCUUCAACAUCAUCAACUGUGAGAAGCCCAACAGCCAGUUCAAUUACGGGAUGCAGCCCACGCUGUAUUCUGUGAAGGAGGCUCUUCUAGGCAGACCUGGCUGGGUACGGACAGGCUAUGAAAUCUGUUAUUACAAAAAUCAUUAUCUCCAGAGUGCAGCCAUCACAGGGGGAGCAUCUGGGAAGUACUAUUACACCCUCACCUUUACCAUCACCUUCCCGCAUGAUGAGGAUGCCUGCUACCUGGCCUACCACUACCCCUACACCUACACCACCCUCAUGGUAAUGCCCUCCUUAAAGCCUUGCCCUAGCAGGACCUCUUGGGGGUUUUCCUGGAAGCAAUCAGGAGACCCUGCUACCUUCAGUGGGGACCUCAGACCUCCAAGGAAGCCGGGAUUGAUUGCCACUAAUGUGAUGGCUUUUUAUUUGUCCCAUUUCCUUCUUUGGCUGGAGCACAAAACUGCAGUCACGGCUAGUGACAUUCCGGAGGCUCCAGUGACAGGCAGUGCUCCUCAGCUGUAGAUUGAGUGUGGGUAGUGGGGGUCAUUUCUUAAAAAAGCCCUCAAAUUAAACACGGAGAAAUGAGGUAAGAGUGAGAUUAUUAGAUCAAAAUGGGGUAAAACUAUGCAGGGAAGCCGAGAUACAAAUUUCAAGAACAUGGAUGUAUGGAGAGUGAAGCAGAAGGUGAGAAAAUGAAGGCUGGAAAAACAGGCUGAGUUUGCAUUGUAACCACUUUCCCUUUUCCAGGGUUUCCCAUGGCCAGGGGCUAGAGGCUUCUAGAAGGCUCUGGGGUAGACAGGAAGGGUAGAAGAAUAAAACUGAAUGAAUUGCUGCA